This is a small nuclear RNA of Budorcas taxicolor (takin), 104 nucleotides long. The record is from RefSeq and is a predicted model, not a curated record. Lineage: Eukaryota; Metazoa; Chordata; Mammalia; Artiodactyla; Bovidae.
GUGCUCGCUUUGGCAGCACAUACACUAAAACUGGAACAAUUCAGAGAUUAGCAUGGCCUCUGAACAAGGAUGACAUGCAAAUUUGUGAAGCGUUCCAUAUUUUU